CUACGGGGGGCUGCAGUGGGGAAUAUUGCACAAUGGACGAAAGUCUGAUGCAGCAACGCCGCGUGGAGGAUGACACAUUUCGGUGCGUAAACUCCUUUUAUGAGUCAAGAUAAUGACGGUAGCUCAUGAAUAAGCGCCGGCUAACUCCGUGCCAGCAGCCGCGGUAAUACGGAGGGCGCAAGCGUUACUCGGAAUCACUGGGCGUAAAGAGCGUGUAGGCGGGUAGAUAAGUUUGAAGUGAAAUCCAAUGGCUUAACCAUUGAACUGCCUUGAAAACUGUCUACCUAGAAUAUGGGAGAGGUAGAUGGAAUUUCUGGUGUAGGGGUAAAAUCCGUAGAGAUCAGAAGGAAUACCGAUUGCGAAGGCGAUCUACUGGAACAUUAUUGACGCUGAGACGCGAAAGCGUGGGGAGCAAACAGGAUUAGAUACCCGUGUAGUC
Molecule: ribosomal RNA, 439 nt
Filed under: uncultured bacterium
Lineage: Bacteria
Description: partial 16S ribosomal RNA
Rfam family: Bacterial small subunit ribosomal RNA
Source: RNAcentral